Non-coding RNA from Podarcis lilfordi (Lilford's wall lizard), 16606 nucleotides. NCBI's taxonomy places the organism in Eukaryota, Metazoa, Chordata, Lepidosauria, Squamata, Lacertidae. The record is from the annotation of a GenBank genome assembly.
AAAACGGACAGGACGAGGUCGAGAGAUUGCAAUGCAUUGUGGGACUCGUAGUUCGCCCCGUUGGACGCCCUGACAGGUUUGUGUGCGUGUGUUUUGUUAAUAUAAAUUAUUUUCUUGUAUGUGGUUGUGCUUAAUUAUUAUUUUAAAAUUGCGUUUUGGAACCCGUUCUGGUCAAGAAGCAGGAUUAAAAAGAAAACCUUUCAUAAAUAGGAGUGGGGAAAGAGGCAGAGCCUUAUGGGAAAUGGAGUGUUUUUAACAAUCCAGCGGAGUGGCCUCAUAAGGGGCGAAUAGGAUUGUGGGGAAUGUAGUCUCUUUGGUUCACAGAGGAAGGAACAUUUAGGGCACUCACAGUCUAAAUUCAAAAUAGGAAACACGCGAAAGGUCGCACCGCUCUAGACCUUUCAUUUCUUUGUUGACCUAUCUUCUGUAUCCUUUGCAUUAGGAAUCUUUAGAAGUCUUUAGGUUUGAGAUCAGAAACGAUCAAAGGGACUCCAGCAAUGUGUGACUCUACUUUUUUUGCUAUCUCUGUGGGACCAAGAGCUAGGAGAUGAGCAUUGUGGGAAAUGGAGUCAUGGGUGUAUUGAAGGUGUCAGGAGCAGGCAGGUGUAAACUCAGAAGUGAUAGGGUAGCCACUUGCACAUCACCUGCCACCCAAAAGGACAUUGAUUUGCAUAACAUUUGCACCUACUAAUUUAUAUUUAUAGAUGCAGAUUUUAAAGUAAGUUCUACAAUUGCUAGAGAAAUAAAAUAUAUUUUAAAUAGAAAUGCAAUCAUCUAACUUUAAGCUAGAUUUGGACCAGAAAGCCCUUGAAAUAGUGGACACCAUCAGACAGAGAAAUGUCUGUAAAGCAGGGUUGCCAAAUUAGAAGCAUCCCAGCUGCAAAUAAAACAUUUUGAAUGUGUUGUAAAGUGCAAUAUACAAUUGUGACACUAGAUGGUGAAUGUGAGCUAUAGCAAAUCUGAUGCAUUUUUCAAAACGAUUUUUUUAAAAAAGCAUUUUCACAAUGUUUUUAACAUGUGUGUAGAUUCCACCCCAGACUGCGAGAUUUCAGGACCCAAACCUGAGACCUAAGGGUACCCCCUCAUGAAGUCAUGGAGUGGUAUCUGGAGAUGGAGGUUAAUUGAGAGAUGGGAACAGAGGAGAGCAGACCCCCACCUCACCCCCACCCUUGGAGUACCUGUGCUAUAAUUUUCAGCCAGCUCCUGUAGCUUUCCACCCAUAACUCAAAUGCUGGGUAUAACUUUCCAGUCGAUUGAGAUUUUUUUUCUUUUAUCGUUUCCACCAUCAUUUUAUUUUUUGCCUUCUCUAUUAGAUUGUAUGUCACAGAUGCAGAACCUGUGACCCUCCAGAUGUUGUUGGACUGCAACUCCCAUCAGCUCCAGCCAGCAUGGCCAAAGGUCAGAGGAUGAUGAGAGUAGUGCAACGGCAUUUGGAGGGCUACGGGAUCCCUGUCCUUGGUGUAUGCCAUUGUUGCAGGAGAUUGCCUUGAUGCCAUUCUGGUGCUGCUUAGAAUGGGUGCUCCUUCUUCAUCCUUACACAGAUGGCACCAGCUGGCAGAAGUAUGUGCACCAUCUAAAAGCAAGCAAGCACUGUCCUAGACGGAUAUGCAGAGCAAUCAAUUAAUUUGAUUGAAACUAGAAUUAUAGAUAUGGGAGGUACAUCUGAGAUCAUCUAAUCCAAUCCCAUGCUGAUAAUGUUAAUCAGCUGCUAUGACAUCCCUCAAUGGUAGCCACCCAGCCUCUGUUUAAACAUCUCUGACAAUGAAUCUGUUUUAGAUUUAUUUUCCUUGGGGAAUCUUUUCCACGCUUGGUUAGUCAAAGAAGCAUUGUCAGUCCAUUUUUAUUUGACCGCAGCACAUGAAAGUUUGGAAACAUAAUCCUGCUGCUUAUUUUGAUGCUUUGAGUAUAGACUUCCAUGCUGUGCAGGUAAUCUGGAAUCAAAAGGGGAAGCCAUCUGUACAAACAGUAGAUUCUGCUGUGAAAGAUUAUCUGAGUAAGGUUAUGCAGAGGUUGGGCACUGAAAACAAUAUAUGUGAUUAAUGUGCAGUAGGGACUUUCCUUCAGUGUUAUGUUUUAUUAUUUCUAAUGCAAAGACGCCAGUUGAUUAAAGAGUUUCUGUUUUUAAUAGAAGAACUGCUACCUGCAUUAAAAAAAAAAAAGUUGUGUUGCAAUUGCUUUGGAAGGCAAUCUGCUGAGGCCAUUGAUUCCUUUGAACUCAUCUGCUGAUAUCAUGUAGUCAAUUGCCAACUAAGGCUACCACACAUUUGUUGGAGGCUGUGCACGUUUUUCCAUACCUCAUCAAAGCAGCCUCUUUCAUUGGGUUGCUUACUAAGCCCCUUUGUCUCUCCUACUUUAUAUCCUUUUAGUUAAAACUUAAUUGCCACUUGCAUUCUAUUGAUCUUUCUUAAUACAGUUUGCUGCUUUGGGGAUGCUGUUGUGCUCAACAAACCUAUUCUUCACAUUAACCUAUAAUCUUUUGUCUUCACUUAAUUGCAUCCCUGCAAUAACGGGCUGGAGAAACAACUGUUCAAAGUUAGCAUUCACUACAGAGAUGUGAGUAGUCUAGAUUUACACCCACUAUAAUCAAUGCAUACCGUCCAAUAUUUCUCCAAUGAAAAUAGGGACGUCCCAUUCCAUAAUGAUAAUUUUACUAUUUAAACCCCACACAUCUUACUGGGUUGCCCCAGCCACUCUAGGCAGCUUCCAACAUAUAUAAAAACAUAAUAAAACAUUACACAUUUAAAAAAACUUCCCUAUACAGGAUUGCCUUCAGAUGGCUUGGGGUUCAGAUAACUCCAUACCCUCCAACAUUUCUCCAAUGAGAAUAGGGACAUCCUAAGGAAAAGUGGGACAUUCCAGGAUCAAAUCAGAAACUGUGACGGCUUUUCUAAAUCAGGGAUGUCCCUGGAAAAUAGGGACACUUGGAGGGUCUGUCAAUGGAGUUAUAUUUCUUGCAUGUGGAGGAGUAGCAAAAUAAUAGUCAGAACUCAAUUUGGCUACUAUCUAUUCUAGAAACAUCACCACCUUUGUCAUCUUUCUUAUAAUGUGCCUUAUCUGCUUAAGUGUGCACAGGACACAACUCAAUGUAGCCUACAAAUCCAGAUUCCUAUAUGGCUAACUCAUUCUGUGAGUGUGGACCCUUUUGUAGCCAAAACAGCCCACUCUCCUUGCACAAAAGAAAGUUAUCAGUGUGUUUGUGGGAACCCCUAGUAUAGCACAGGUUAAAAAAGAAAUUGGAGAAAAAACUUUGCAGAAGGGAUCUGAAAACAUGCUCAUUAGGCACAGAAUGCUGACUGGCAGUGGAAAUCACAGGAGAGGGGAAAUGGAAUGGAGUAUCUUGGCAGGGGGCUGGCUGGCCAGCAGACAGGCUGGCACACUGAACUGGAGCACUGCACAUUGCAGCUUUUUGUUGCAGGCCCCACUUAUAAACCAUUAACAAUCAAAUCCCCAAAGUCAUACUGAAACCCAGAGAGCUGGCACAAUCCCCAAAAGGGAAACAGGAAAAAAAUAACAUCCCUAGAAUGCUCUAGAAAUAAGGCAAAUUUUGACUUGAUGUGUGCUGAAGAAGAAAUGUGCAGAAGCCAGAUGAAUAUUUUUGAGGAGGUGUCAUACUCCAGGGGAUGCCCCCAAGGGACCAGUUACAGCAUACUGUAUAUAAUACUUCACCAAAGUACUCAUCAAUGAGGACAGGGUUGCUGGUGCAGCACAGUCCAAACCAAAAGGAUGAGCGGCAAAUAAGGUAACUCCUGGUUCAGAUCUCAUAUCCGCUGUAAGUAGGCUUAAGCAAGCUUCUCUCUCAGCCCCCCAUCUGCAAUAUAUUACAGUGGUACCUCAGGUUAAGUACUUAAUUCGUUCCAGAGGUUCGUUCUUAACCUGAAACUGUUCUUAACCUGAAGCACCACUUUAGCUAAUGGGGCCUCCUGCUGCUGCCGCACCGCAAGAGCACGAUUUCUGUUCUCACCCUGAAGCAAAGUUCUUAACCCGAGGUACUAUUUCUGGGUUAGCGGAGUCUGUAACCUGAAGUGUAUGUAACCUGAGGUACCACUGUACUUUAUAGCAGUGGUAGCCAAUGUGGUGUCCUCCAGAUGUUGUUGGGACUCCAAGGAGUCCAACAUCUGGAGGGCACAAUGUUGAUUACAGUGGUACCUUGGGUUACAUAAGCUUCAGGUUACAUAAAUUUCAGGUUACAGACUCCACUAACCUGGAAAUAGUACCUCAGGUUAAGAACUUUGCUUCAGGAUGAGAACAGAAAUAGUGCUGCGGCAGCGGGAGGCCCCCAUUAGCUAAAGUGGUGCUUCAGGUUAAGAACAGUUUCAGGUUAAGAACGGACCUCCGGAACAAAUUAAGUUCCUAACCCGAGGUACCACUUUACUCCCAUGUGUAAGGCUUAUAAGCAGAUGAGGUGUGUGCUUGGAACACCUGAAAAUGGAAUGUAGAUUGUAAGCAUCAUCAUUAUCACCAUUAUGCUGAAGGUGGGCAAAAGGAUAUACAAGAACCUUGGCUAAUACUGACAUUCACAAACCUAAAUGCUGUCCAGGUUUGCUCUGUAUUCAUCUAAGAAGGUCUCUGAGAAAAGCAGAGCAUCCGCUGAUGUAAUUUAGGAUAGUGUUGAGCUUGGGGGGGGGGGGAUCAUCGGCUGAAUGUUACCCUGUUCCUGAGCUCUUAAAACCCUGUCCCAGAUGGAAUUAACCUGGGUUGACAUGACAUUUGAGCAAUGCCGCAUUCUCUGCUUUAUCACUUCAGUUCGUUUCCUAUAUGUUGUUGCUGCUGCUGCUGCAGUAGCAGCUGUCCUCAGAUGGGCACCUGGGAGUUUGCCAUCUCCUGAUGCCCAAAGGCACCCUGAAGGAAAGACAGAGAGAGAUAAAAAGCAGCAGCAGGAUAUAUGCAUAUAUUUAUUUUGUACCGUCAAUAUCAUUUCCACCAGUGAUCAUAUGCGGGAAGUAGGGGUGGGGGCAAGGACUACUAUCCUCAAUGGCUAUGUUUUGCCUUCACUGUCAUAUGCGUCUGAAUACCAGCUGCUGGGAAUCACAAGUGGGGAGAGCGCUGUUGAUCUGUGGACCUGUUUUCAGGCUUCCUAUUGGGCUAUCUGACUGGCCACUAUGAGAACAGAACGCUGGACUAGAUGGGCUCUUGACCAUGAUCCAGCAGGGCUCUUCUUAUGUUAUUGUGACCCAACAGGAUUCAUUCUGUGUCUAGAGGACUGCUUUAAUCACUCUAAACAGAAAAUGGAUUUGCACACCACCACAAAGUGCACAUUCUUUCAAAAUGCAGUUAUCUUGAGGGUAAUCUGGCAAGCACUGCAUGUGGGAGGUGGGCAGAGAUGUUAGUGGGUUGAGUUUGCAGGAUUGCAUGGUUUACUCUGCAUCUAUCUCUCUCCCUACCUACCACACUUUUUCUUCCCCACCACCACCACAGUACAAUUUCCCCCUUCAGUGCUUCCCAUGGACUGCAAGGUUGGGGAAUCUUUGGCCCACAAGCCAAAUUGGGCCUAGCACAGAUCUGUGUUUGGCCCACAGAUCCAUUUUUCCCAAACCAUAAAAACCUGCAACCUGCAGUGUUGCAAGUCACCACCCAUCAGCUCUCUUGUUCUAAGGCAGGCUUCCUCAACCUCGGCCCUCCAGAUGUUUUUGGCCUGCAACUCCCAUGAUCCCUAGCUAGCAGGACCAGUGGUCAGGGAUGGUGGGAAUUGUAGUCUCAAAACAUCUGGAGGGUCGAGCUUGAGGAAGCCUGCUUUAAGGGAUGCUAAUUGGAAUGCUCUUAUUGCCAGAGAAAUAUUUCUAUUAAGUGUCAUGCUGCACAGUUCUAAAGCCGGACAGUUUGUUCAAUACUAACAUCUCAAAAGGGAAAUUACAUUACUGCAUUUUGUGCAAGAGAAGCAGCAUUUUGGUGAUUACUUUUAGAUCUGCUAGAUGCCACUGGCACGUAAUUUAUCUGUGCUUUGUGUAGUUGGUGCUGCGUGUCUUGUGUAGCAACUAAACUGCAGAGUCUGUAAGCUGCCGUUUAUGAUUCCCGCAUAAGAGUAAGAUCUAGCAAUUCAGAAGGUUUCUUUAAAACAAGAAUCCUGCUGUGAAACUGUGUUUUACAUAAGAACCUCUCCAGGGAGGCGCAUUGGUGCGCAAGGAGAUUGGAACUGGAGGAAAAAGUUCUGCAAGGUCAUUCCUUCCCUAGAAGCCCUGAUUCCCAACAUUGUGCCGGUGGGUUCAGUGGUGCCUUAGAAGUCAUCCCUGGGAGCCUUAAAAGACUCUAACCUCUUCCACUCCCUGCCCCCUUGGUCAUGAGGUGGUGAAUGUGGUUAUGUUUUUCUUCCUUGAAUAGUACAUAGAAUUGAAGGAGAACAUUGGAAGAGUGGUGCUCUUUCUUUCCCACUUUCAGCUCUAUGUGCUUUUCAUGACUCAGAUAAAUUCUGCUGGAUCUGACUUUUGCCCAGAUCUCUUGGGAAAGCUGAAUGGGGCUGGGGCUGUGUGUGCGUGCGCACACACGUUUUCUCUCUUAGUGUCUCAUGGCAUGGCGGCUGAUCUGAGGUAGUGGGAGAUAAAUGACCAGAGGGGGUGGCACACACAAUACUCACUUAGAUAUCCAAAUUUGCCUGUAGGGCUGAAAAGGUUGGUAACCCCCUUGACUGCUGGCUGAUUUCUCUUCCAUGCUCUGUCUCAACUUCCUACUUUGAUUCUUCAUCCAAGAGGUGAAGAUUUUGUUCAUAAGUGUAUGGAAUGAUUUUGUUCUUCCCUGUAUUUCAUGUCACAUGCAAGCUGCAGAAGAUGAGGGGCUCAGUUGAGAGACUACCAGUUUUUUGCACCUGUCCUUGAAAUUUUCCAUCCUGGCUGGUUAAAAGAAGAACCUGUAACUAAGAACUUGUCCCCAAAUUUGUCCUCCUCCCUCCAAAUCCAUUUCCCUUUUGUGCCAUGUCUUUAGAUUGUAAACCUGAGGGCAGGUUUAUUGAUCUGUAAGCCACUUUAAGAACCCUUUUUGGCCAAAGAGCAGGCUAAAAGUUGUUUAAAAAUAAGAUAUACAGUGGGCCCUGCAAGAAACAAUUCCAGUGUCUGUUCAUGCUCUUAUCCAACAGCUCAUUCCAUUCUCCUCUCCCAGAAUUCCAUGGUUUGUUCAGUCCUCAUUAAGCUGUUGUGGGGCAUCUGUUUUGUGUGCAGAAGUUCCCCAGCUCAAAUCACAACAUCUCUAGUUAGGGCUGGGAAUGUCCCUCAUCUGAAACCCUGAAGACCUGCUUCUAGUCAAUGUGGACAAUACUGAACUACAUGAACUAAUGGUCUGACUCAGAGUAAGCCAGCUUCCUCUGUCUUGGUGGUGGUUUGUUUUGGUUUUGGUUUUUGCCACUUCAGGUUUUUGCCACUUCAGGUUGUCCCAGUGCCUCUCCAUAUCCCAGUGGCCACAUUUUAGCUCCAUUUCUGUUGAUACUCACCACCUGAAGUGAUCUCCUAUUCUAUCACGAAAAAGCUGAGAAAGGUCAAGGUGUCUGAAGGUGCACAAAGCUUGUGGCAGUGGAGAUAUUUGGAAGUGGCACUUGCAAAUAUUUCAGGUUCUGAAAUAUUUGCAGGACGUGCCAUCAAACCCUGGGAAAGCAUUUUCAGAUGACACUCACCAUUUUCUUUGUUUCGUCUCGGCAACUCAAAUCAAAGGAAUCCAAAACUUCUUGGAAGCAUGAAAAUGAAUUUUUAAUACAUCAAUUAUGAUGUGGGUAGUCAAGGGUGGAAAGUAUUAAGGAGAAAGCAAGUAGAACCCAUCCAUAAGCCUAGAAGGGAGGAGGGAUGUUCCUUGAGGGCUUUCAAAUAUAAAUGAAGUUGUCGGAAUAACAUUAACGAAAAGAAUAUAAUUAGAAAUCAACAGGCACAGAGGAGAAGGGGAAACAACAAGCUGAACUCAGCCUUUUCAUGAAUCACAUAGCACUGAAAUGAAAAGCUCAGGAGUAGGAGAUGAGAUACAAGACUAAGGCCAAAAUAAUGGUGAUGUCUAGGGGGGGAAGAAACACUACUCUUGUUUUUUUUUCAAAUCCUACAAAUACUUCAAGCUUUCCGGUUGCUUUUCAGUAGGGAUGGGUGAAUCUGUCAAUUUCAGUUUCUCUAUGUCUCUCAUUUUCCCCAUCUUAUUUAUUUAUUUACGAACACAAUUUCUAUACCACUUAGUAUAUUUAAAAAAUACAUAUCUAAGCAGUAUAUAGAAAACCAAUGCAACAACCGACAAUGUAAACAACUACCAAUGUACACAGAUAUAAAACUGUUAUAUUCAUACAAAGGUAGUAAUAAAUAUAAGCCAAUAUCAUUUACAUUCAUUUACAUUCUGACGCAUCCUCCCCUCUCAGCCUCCUGGCUCUCACUCAGGACUCCACCCACCCAACUUGGCUCUCACCCAAGUAGUAAUCAAACUCUUAGCUCACUCACAAAAGUCUUGCAAAGAGGAAGGAUCCUGGAUACUGCUGGUGUCACCCUUGUCUCCCAGUCUAGGUUUGCUAGAGUGGGUGGUGGUUUCUCAGUCUGCCCACAACUGUGUCCCAUUCAGCAGUCAACUGCACUCUCUAAAUUCCCCUACAUGCGAAGACAGCCUCCAGCAGCAAUCAAACGGUCAAGAAGGCAGUUAAUGCACAUGCUGCAGAGGGAAAUGAGGGGCAGAUGGGGCUCAUCAACCUGGGAACAUCUAGAAGGAGGAAAUCUCUGAUCCUAAACUUCCACUGCCUUGCAGGACAACUUUGGGAGAAGGAAAGGCUAAGGAGUAAAGCCUCCACAAAUCUGGAGUGCAGUCCCUAAGAUGGUUGGAUGGCUCCUUGUGCGCCUCCUUCCGGCAACAUUUGCAGCUAAGCUGGUGCCAAAUGCAUUGCUCAGCUUUCCUUUGGGGGGUCCCUCUCAGCAAGGCCCAGGACCUCCAUACACAUUGCCCUGGCUUGUGCCCUGAGAGGUCACCUUGGUGCUGCUAAAUGCAGCAAAAAACAACACAGAAGGCAGCAGUUAUGAGUUAUGAGUCUCUGCAGCCACAGCAGGCACUGUAAUUCUCCAACAGUUUGACUCACCCCCAGAGGCACGCUCCAUUGUCUCUUGAGACAGAUGGAUGACAACAAGGAUGAUGCAAAUGAACGUGAACUUUUUCCCCAUCAUUAAUUUUCAAGUUAUGUUCUUGGAAACUGAAGCUGAUCUAUUUUUCUGCUAGGGCUUGUUAGCAUAACAAUGCUAAUGAACGAUGAAAUUAUACUCGAUUUAUUAUCGUCUCCUCUCUACAUCCAUGCAUUGUGAUAUCCAUGGGAAGGUUACUUACAAUGUGUCAUUAAAAGUGAUGGGAGCGAUGCAAGCUUUCAGCAUGCAUAAUAAUAUCAAGGGGGAUUUCAGAUAUAAAUGCAGACUAAUUAAAGGCAGGAAAGGUCUUUGACUGUGAAUCACAGGCCAGCAAUUCUAGGCUCAGGGAUGGGUAACCUCAUACCUGGGGGCUAAAGGUGGCCAUCCAGACUUUUCUUUGUGGCUCUCAGGACUCUCCCCAGACCUUACUAUCCCUGCGUAAGGGCUUUUACCUGGCCAGAAUGUGUCCUUGAGCUGUGAUAAUGCUUCUUGACUGCCUGGAUAGAUAAAUGUGUGUGUUUGACCAUUGACUUGUACAUGGCUGGAAGGUAGCCUACCAUACAAAGGUAAGAGUCACACCCAUUGCUCCGAAUAGUUUUUGCUUCUGGCCCCACCUGCCACUGACCUUUGGUCCCUGCAAGGUUACCUACAGAAGGAGAAGUUCAUCAUCCCUGCUGUGGCCCCUGGCAAAGAGAGAUUCCUGGUCUUAGAAAGGGAGAUGUGAUGACAGCAUCUCCUUCUCUGUUGCUGCCACAGUCUCUGUUCUCCUGGCCCUACCAGUGUCAGGGCUCUGAUGUCCAAAAUGGCAGCAUACAGGGGCAGAUUAUGGAAAAUAGAAGAUUAAGGGAUCACUGAAAGUCUGCCACACAGAAUAUGGAGCAAGCUUGUUCUCUCUUGCUCCGGAGAGGAGGAGUGGAACUAAUAAGACUGGAAAUGAUAGGGAUCCUGAUUUCAGUAAACCAUUGGGGAACUUUCCAACAGCCAGAGCUGUUUACCAGUGGAACAGGCUGCCUCUGGAAGGCUGUUCUGUCAUUCACUAGAAGCCAUCUUUAAGGGGUGCUGUAGUUGCAUCCUAGAUGGGGGAAAUUGCAGCCAUUGGGGGAAAUGGCAUGAGAUGCAAAGCCUAAACAUAUAUAGCUGGGAUAGGGGGCCUGUGGCCCUUCAGAUUCUUAUUUUUUUAAACAACUCACAUCAUUCCUGACCAUUCGCCAUGCCAUCUGGGGCUGAUGGGACUUGGAGCCUCCCAUCCCUGGUAUGAGCGCAGUGAUGAGCACAAUGACCAUUUGCUACAUUGGCAAUGAGGGAUAACAAAAUCUUCCUGGCUUUGCUCUGAUAAUUUAACACGGUAGGAGGACAUGAUAAAACCCUGGUCCCAAUUAUUCCUAAAUGAACAGGAGAAAGUUAUCAAUAAAUUCUAGUGCUGCAAUUUCAUGCUGCAGUCCCCCUUUGAUAUUUCUUUCUUUUUUAUUUUUAAACUGUUUAAUAACAUUGACUUUCAUUCAACUGACAGUCAUCAUCUAGUCUUGGAGGUGUCACAACAUCUUUUGUCAAUCUUCUUGAAGCAGGUGAAAUAUAUGGAGAAAGUGGAUAGACAGAAGGUGUCCUGCCGCUCUCAUAAUAUAGAAUCCAUGGGAUAAUCCAAAGCAUCUGAAGAGAUUCAGGACAGACUAAAGGAAGGACACCUCCACAUGGCACAUAUUUAAACUAUGGAAUUCUCUUGCACAAGGCGUAUUGAUGGCCUCUAGCUUGGAUGGCUUUAAAAGAUGAUUAGACAAAUCAACACAGGAUGAGGCUAUCAGUGACUACUAGCCACAGUGACUAGGUUCUACCUCCACUGUCAGAGGCAAUAUGUUUCUGAAUACUAGUUACUGGGAAUCACAGGUGGAGAGAGGGCUAUUGUGCUCCAACUUUAGGGCUUCCCAUAGGCAUCUGGUUGGCCACCAUGGGUGGCAUUCAACUACAUUUUACUCAGAGUAGAGCUAUUGAAACUAAUGGGCCUAACUUAGUUGUGUUAAUUAAUUUAAGUGGGCCUACUUUGAGUAAAAUCUAGUUAAAUUUCACCCUGUGGAAACAGGAGGUUGGACUAGAUGGGCCAAGGUUGUCUUAUGUAACAGGAGGAAUCAGCCUGCAAAGAUAGGACUCACAAUGCUAAACUUCCUCACAGGAGCCUGGUCUUUGACAUAUUUGUCAGCUUUGUGUAAAUGAACGUCCCACUCUGGGGUUAAGAGAUUUUAUGGUGCUGAUGGUGGUUUUGAAAAUAGCAGCUGUUUUGAAAAUUAGAUUUCUGAUAACAAAAAAGGUGCAAAUGAGUGGAUCCUACAGAUUGCAUCACACUUUUUGUUUUCUUUUUUAAACAUAGGACCUUAGUUUUUUCUUGCUCUGAAACCUGCAGGGUAAAAAAUAAUGCAACUUUGGCUUCCUGAAUGUGUCGAAGUAAUUCUGAGGCCCGAACAUGUUGUCCCCUUUCUCUCCCGACAGCAAUUAGCUCUUGUAAAAUCUCUCACAUGUGCUCAGAAUUUGUAAGGGGAUUUAAUUCUUGCGUUCCUGCUGUGAGACCUACUGCGAGUUCUUCCCUCAGCCACUCUGAAGACUCUCAAGGUCAGCCGAGCCUAGAAUUGCUGUGCUGAGGCAAAAUGUCCACUCUACUCUGUUGACAGAGGCUGCAAAAAUUGGGGAGGUUUGGAUUUCAGCAAAGAUGGGGGAGGGAGCAAACAGGCAUAAAACAUGGAGACUGGAUCAUUAGGGCAAAUGGGGCACUGCCCCUCCAACCUGAGUCUGCAUUUUGCCAGCACUCAUUUGCCUUGCCUUCUUGCUUACAGCCUGUCCAGAGGGUAGCCCUGCCUAUCAGUUUUCACCUCCUCCUCCUCAGUCUCAGUCUUGCCCUUGUAGAGCUCAGCAAGGAGGACAGCAGAGGCAAAACUAGAAUAGAGGCAGAUUUAGGGGAGCGAGACCAGUUCGCCUGCACUGGGCGCUGAAUGGAAAAGGCGCUGCAGGAGGCACCGCAACAAUGACUUAGAACAGAAGACGAGAGGUGGGGGGGCAAAUGUUGGCAUCACACAGGGUGCCGCUGAAAUUUGAAAGCCCAAAUGCCACUGCCACUGUCACCUGUCUGUCCCCUCCCACCACCUGGCGGUCAGGUGGACCAGUGUUGGAAGUUUGAAUGCAACUCUGCUUUUAGAAGAGGGGUUUGCAUGGGUUAAAACAAUAGGGUUUGGGACCUCCAGAUUCCCAGUCCAUCUCUUGCUCUUCCUUGCUUUAAACCCAUGAUUCCCAAUGUGGGGCACAUCCCCACAGGGGGGGAAUUUGAUUUUUAAGGUGGGCAAUUCGAGAACGAGUUAUUAACAAUGAAUGGCCUUUUAGGCUUCCUCCAUGUGAGUAGGAGUUCACUUUUUGAAUAAUAAGAAUUAUAUGUCAUGCGGGGUGUUUUUAAGAGAAGCUUAGGUGAGGACGUGGGUGGCACUGUGGGUUAAACCACAGAGCCUAGGACUUGCCAAUCAGAAGGUCGGCAAUUCGAAUCCCCGCAACGGGGUGAGUUCCUGUUGCUUGGUCCCUGCUCCUGCCAACCUAGCAGGGCCUAAUUAAUUUCAGUGGGCCUAUUCUUGCAUUGCAGGGGUUGGACUAGAUGACUCUUGGUCCUCCCAACUCUACAUUUCUCUAUGAUUCUAUUCUGAGCAGCUUUGUGUUCAUCUGACAUUAGGAAAAUGAUCUCACCUUUACUGAUCUCCGUAUGGAGGUACUGAUAAGUUUUUGAACCCCAGAAUUUCAGAGUAUUCUAUGAACUAUGAAUUUGUUCAAGCAUAAAUCUCCAUGGAAUCAUUACUGUUAAAGUCACAAAGCUUCAGUUUGGUCCAAAGGGGAAACUUAGAGACAGCUGAAAAAGUUUUGCUGUUAUUUCCAUUGGAUAUUCAGCCUUCAGGGAGAUUUUCUAGGUGCCAUCUGUGCCGUGCUAUGCAAAGGAUCAGGAGGCAUUGAUCAAAUGCUAUAGGAGCAUCAGGCACAAAGCUCAUUUGCUAGCAUUCUGUUCAAUGCGAUAAUUGCUUUUCAAACUUCAUUAACAGGAAAGGGCAAAUUACCAAAAAGUUCCUUACAAACUCAAGGAAAAGAAUUUUCUGGGCUUGCGGUUUAGUCUUCAGUGGCAAUCCAAAAUUGCCAAAGACAGAUUACUGCUAGGUAGUGUGUUGGGGUGGGUGUUGGAAAGAGUAAGGAGGAACUAAUGGAGCUAUCAAUUGGUGAUCCCUCAAAGCAGCCUUCCCUAACCUGGUGCCCUCGAGGCCAUUGGUUCCCAAACCUUCCCCCCACCCCUCAUCUCCCACUUGAACAUUGCUGAGGGUCUUGGUGGAGCACUUAAUGAUUUUACCACCUGUUGCAGUAGUUCUAAUUGCAUAGUAGUAAUGCAAUAAAAUGUAAAACAAGAAAUAAAAGGAGCAAAAUAAAUACAAUUAAAAAUCAAUAUGAAUUUUCAAUGUGAUGGAUGUGCCAUUGCUCAUCUUCAACAACAAAUCCACAGACACAGACCACAGAUUGGAAACCUGACCACUGGUCUCCUGUUUCCCUGGAUGGUGGAUAGAGAUUAGUGUGUGUUGAAACUAGGCUUCUGUACAAAAAUAAAAUUUGCAUUCAUUGCUUCACCACUUUUGCUUCUGGCCCCAGGGAGCUUACAUUCUCUGAUCUAAUAUUUUUCCUCUAAAUUAUCAUAAUAAUUAUUAGCAUUUGUAUGGCUAUUUCUAGUAUACAAAGCACUUCCUCUGCAUUAUCUGGUUGCAAUCCUUACAAUUUUAUAAGUGUGCUAUUACUCCCAUAUUUCAGAUGGGAGGUGGACACAACUGAGGCUGAGAUCAAGGGGCUUGUGGAAGGGAAUGCAUGGCAGAGAUGAAAUUUGAGCAGUCUCUGGUUCUUCGUGAUUCAUAACUCAGCCAAUAUGCUGCCCCAUAUCCUGCUGUUGUUUUGAGUAACAAUAAUGUGGCAGAAAUGUACCUUGGUCCCCCAUUUCCCAGCUAGGAAAUCUAAGAAAGGGGGCAGGGAGAGAGGAAAGAGUUUGCUACAAUACCAUACAAAUAAGUCACUACAUAAAUCUGUUAUAUGAUACAGACCAGUGUGAUAGCAGGGCAUAACUUUUUAAAGCUGAGAGCCUUUCCUGAUUAAUUAUUUCCUUUCCAGAGGGCAUCUCAUUGAAGUUGCAAGAAAGUCACAAUUUGGCAGGUUUAAUUAAAAGCUUCUGCUCUCCCUCUCCCCCCUCCCCUCUCUUUCCCUCUCUCCACCUCCCCAACUAGAGUAAUGAGUGGAAAUUUUAUCCUGCAAGCUUAAAGCAGACAAUGAUCAGGAUUCCUGGGCAAUGUGUAAGCCUAGAAUUCUGAAUCUGAAUCAUCCACAGUUCAAGAUCACAAGGCUGUUGGGUGGAUAUCUGGGGUGUGUGUGUUGCAAGUGAAAAGACAGGACUACAUUGGGUGAAUACAUGGAGGGCAGGUGAAAGAAGCUCCUACUAUGGUUUUGCUUUAUAUUUUAGGUAAGCAAUGGGGAAUCUUCGUCUCUCCAGAUGUCAUCAAACUCCAGCUCCUAUCAGCCCCAGCCAAUGAUCAGGGCUGAUGGUAUUUGUAGUCCAACAAUGGGCUCAUCCACAUUUCCACUUGUCCCAGGCCUAGAAUGCAUGGGUCUGAACAGUUUUGCACUUAUCCUGUGCUUUCUUGGCACAGGUCCACGUGGUUUUCUGUUUGCCCCACCGCUUUCCCCAGGAAAGUGCUGAAUUGGCUCAAACAUCCAUCUGUGGAAAAGCCAAUUGACAUUUGCUCCAAUUCAGCUGUAAAUAUUGGGUUUUCCUGGUGGAAAGUGGCAGGACAAGUGGCAGUCUGGAUGAGCCCAAUGUCUAGAGGGCACUUCAUUGGCUACCUCUAUGUCAGGAAAUGGAUUGUAGGAAACAAUGGCACAAAGCAGCCUUCUCCAAACAGAUGCCUUCCAGGUGUUACUAAACUUAUCAGCUCCAGCCAGCACAGACAAUGAUUGGAGAUGAUGGGUUGUAGUUCUGUGACAUCUGGAGGGCCACAGUUUCCCCAUCCCUGUUUCAGAUGAACACAUAUAUUCUUUCUAAGGUGCAAUGAAGUCUUUUAAAAUUGGCACUAACCUUCCCAGCAAUGUUUGUGGGAAGUAUAUACUAUAUACUAUUGAAACUUGCAGUUCUGUGUUAAUUAGAUGAUUAAACAGAUGAUAAGCUGUGGUGAUCGAUGAGUAUGUGGACUAAUCACCCCCGCUCUCCCUCUCUCCCCCUCUUUUUUUGCAGUCCUUGCAUUUGGGGUUAAUAAGUCACACCAGGAGAAAAGACCCAUACCCCACAAUGUGGAGGGUACAAUGAUGUUAUUAAGCCCUGACUGAUAAAGCUAAGAAGAUUCAACCUUAUCUCAUUAAUUAGUUGAGUGCCCUUAGCCUCAACAUUUGGCACAUGUAAGGGCCUCAAUCCUGAGAGAUGCUGAAUGCCCUUGAUUUCCAUGUUGCUUCAGAUUUCCAAGAACUGACAUUGCUCAUGUUUUCCUGGAAUUGUUCAGGAGUAGACCCACACCUGCAUUUAAACAUUAUUGAAAUGAAGAUAUGAGUAAGAAUAUAUAGCUCUGUAUAACAUAAUCUUGUUCUCCUUUGCGGAUUUUUUCUUUCUGUUGCUGGGAGUUGUGAGUUCCAUACUCUGCUGCAUAUUAAUUAAGCACCCAAGUUGCAAUUCUAAAUGCUGUUCCGUAGUGACCAAAACAACUCCAGGAGGUUCUGGGGACAAAGUGAGAAAAUAAUAUGUCAAAGUAAGAAGAAUUACAAGGUGAAGGACAUCACUUUAAAGGUAGUCUGUAGUAAACUAGCUCUUUCUUUAGAAUCUCAGUCAUUUCAAUCAUUCUGUUUCUAUGGAUCUUUCUAACAUUAUUUUGAUCAUCAAUGAAAGGCAAAAAUGAAAUUGCCAAACUCGUACUAACACUGAUCUGAGUGAUAGUCUAGUGUAGGCCAUUUCCUGAAGGUGUUUUUAUGGCAGACACGGAUCUUUACUACAAAAAUAUUCUUAUACAUCACCCACAACCCUUACCAGUAGAAAUAAAUUAUUGCACCAAGUUAUGAUGCAAUUACCCGUCUUCCUAUCCUUACAUAAACUCUUAAUCUUUUUAUUUAAAAAAAUGCUAUUCUCGUACAGUCCUUGAGAAUACAGAAUGUCACGGUCAUUUUGCUUGAAAUAAUCCUGCUUUUCAAUAACAGAAAAAGUCCUAAACUUUUCUUGCUCAUUUGCUAAUUGCAGGUGCCCACUGUAAGAAUCUGGGGUGAGUAUUUCAUCUGAUAUGAGUGAUAAAAAUAGAAUACAUGAAUCAUUCCAGUACUUUAAAUUCACAGGAGCUGCGGGUUUUUUCCCCUUCCUUGAAGAGCUCUGAAAGGAUUCGUUGGCAUUUCCGUUGCUCCUGACAGACAAAGCUGAAUGCAUUUAAUUAUAAGAAAUAAUUUGUCUUUGUGUGUGGAGGCGAAUAGCUAAUUCUGCCCCUCCCCCUUGCUACUGUUGUCAGUGUGGGCCCUCUUCAAUAAUGUUUCCUUGAAAGAAA